This 505-nucleotide unclassified non-coding RNA is filed under the name uncultured Entrophospora. Its description in RNAcentral is "SSU rRNA". It matches the Rfam family "Eukaryotic small subunit ribosomal RNA", at positions 569 to 1072 of the family's 1831-position model. Lineage: Eukaryota; Fungi; Glomeromycota; Glomeromycetes; Entrophosporales; Entrophosporaceae. The record is from RNAcentral.
AGCAGCCGCGGUAAUUCCAGCUCCAAUAGCGUAUAUUAAAGUUGUUGCAGUUAAAAGCUCGUAGUUGAAUUUCGGGAUUGACGUGAUGGUCAUGCCUUAAGGGGUAUGAACUGUUACUGUUGAUUUCUCACCUUCUGGAGAAACUUGAUGUCCUUUAUUGGGUGUCUUGCGGAUCCAGGACCUUUACCUUGAAAAAAUUAGAGUGUUUAAAGCAGGCAUUUUUGCUCGAAUACAUUAGCAUGGAAUAAUAGAAUAGGACGGCAUGGUUCUAUUUUGUUGGUUUCUAGGAUCACCGUAAUGAUUAAUAGGGAUAGUUGGGGGCAUUAGUAUUCAAUUGUCAGAGGUGAAAUUCUUGGAUUUAUUGAAGACUAACUACUGCGAAAGCAUUUGCCAAGGAUGUUUUCAUUAAUCAAGAACGAAAGUUAGGGGAUCGAAGACGAUCAGAUACCGUCGUAGUCUUAACCAUAAACUAUGCCGACUAGGAAUCAGACGAUGUUAAUUUUUU